CGACCCCCUCCCGGUAAAGGCGCAGUCCGCCAGCCGGAAGCGAGUCUUGCAUGGGCGACGGCAACGUCGCUCGUGAAGCGUAGACAGCGGAUGUUGAAGCCUUGGGGUAGCCCCGAAAUCAUGUAGUUGCUGAGAGCCUUCGGUCUGUUGGGCCCGGGGGCAGCACUGGCAGGACCGUCACAGACGAGGUCCUUUCAGCUCGGCCGGGGUCUUGGAACA
Molecule: non-coding RNA, 219 nt
Organism: Rhizobium sp. PDO1-076
Lineage: Bacteria; Pseudomonadati; Pseudomonadota; Alphaproteobacteria; Hyphomicrobiales; Rhizobiaceae
Source: Rfam